Molecule: ribosomal RNA, 474 nt
Filed under: uncultured organism
Description: partial 16S ribosomal RNA
Rfam family: Bacterial small subunit ribosomal RNA
Source: RNAcentral
GUACACUCCUGCGGGAGGCAGCAGUGGGGAAUUUUGGACAAUGGGCGAAAGCCUGAUCCAGCAAUGCCGCGUGUGUGAAGAAGGCCUUCGGGUUGUAAAGCACUUUUGUCCGGAAAGAAAUCCUUGGCUCUAAUACAGUCGGGGGAUGACGGUACCGGAAGAAUAAGCACCGGCUAACUACGUGCCAGCAGCCGCGGUUAUCCGUAGGGUGCGAGCGUUAAUCGGAAUUACUGGGCGUAAAGCGUGCGCAGGCGGUUUGCUAAGACCGAUGUGAAAUCCCCGGGCUCAACCUGGGAACUGCAUUGGUGACUGGCAGGCUAGAGUAUGGCAGAGGGGGGUAGAAUUCCACGUGUAGCAGUGAAAUGCGUAGAGAUGUGGAGGAAUACCGAUGGCGAAGGCAGCCCCCUGGGCCAAUACUGACGCUCAUGCACGAAAGCGUGGGGAGCAAACAGGAUUAGAUACCCCUGUAGUCCC